RNAcentral lists this ribosomal RNA (448 nucleotides) under uncultured bacterium. Its description in RNAcentral is "bacterial SSU rRNA". It matches the Rfam family "Bacterial small subunit ribosomal RNA", at positions 68 to 509 of the family's 1533-position model. The record is from RNAcentral.
GGCAGCAGGGGUGUAGCAAUACACUCGCUGGCGACCGGCAAACGGGUGCGGAACACGUACGCAAUCUACCCAUAACUGAGGAAUAGCCCUCCGAAAGGAGGAUUAAUACUUCGUAACCUUUUUAAGUGGCAUCACUUGAUUAGUAUAGCUCCGGCGGUUAUGGAUGAGCGUGCGGCUGAUUAGGUAGUUGGCGGGGUAACGGCCCACCAAGCCUGCGAUCAGUAACUGGUGUGAGAGCACGACCAGUCACACGGGCACUGAGACACGGGCCCGACUCCUACGGGAGGCAGCAGUAAGGAAUAUUGGUCAAUGGACGCAAGUCUGAACCAGCCAUGCCGCGUGAAGGAUGAAGGUCUCUGGAUUGUAAACUUCUUUUAUAGGGGACGAAACCCGGGUAUUCUUACCCGAUUGACGGUACCCUAGGAAUAAGCACCGGCUAACCCGUGCG